This 159-nucleotide small nuclear RNA is filed under the name Chrysemys picta bellii (western painted turtle). RNAcentral's name for it is "U4 spliceosomal RNA (ENSCPBG00000007135.1)". It matches the Rfam family "U4 spliceosomal RNA". From Rfam's summary of the family: U4 small nuclear RNA (U4 snRNA) is a component of the major U2-dependent spliceosome. The structure of U4 snRNA from yeast and human has been reported. Lineage: Eukaryota; Metazoa; Chordata; Testudines; Emydidae. The record is from Rfam by way of RNAcentral.
AGCUUUGAGCAGUGGCAGUAUCAUAGCCAACGAGGUUAAUCCGAGGUGUGAUUAUUGCUAGUUGAAAACUUUCCUUUGCCUUGCUGUCACAUGAAUUAAAGUUUACAAAUUCAUUUUUCAGUCAUGGGAGGCAAAAAUUAUUUUCAGACUCAUUGGUGU